AGCGAACGCUGGCGGCAGGCUUAACACAUGCAAGUCGAGCGGGCACCUUCGGGUUUCAGCGGCAGACGGGGGCGGAACACGUGGGAACGUACCCUUCGGUUCGGAAUAACGCUGGGAAACGAGCGCUAAUACCGGAUACGCCCUCAUGGGUAAAGGUGUACUGCCGAAGGAUCGGCCCGCGUCUGAUUAGCUAGUUGGUGGGGUAACGGCCUACCAAGGCGACGAUCAGUAGCUGGUCUGAGAGGAUGAUCAGCCACACUGGGACUGAGACACAGCCCAGACUCCUACGGGAGGCAGCAGUGGGGAAUAUUGGACAAUGGGCGCAAGCCUGAACCAGCCAUGACGGGUGAGUGAUGAAGGCCUUAGGGUUGUAAAGCUCUUUUGUCCGGGACGAUAAUGACGGUACCGGAAGAAUAAGCCCCGGCUAACUUCGUG
RNAcentral lists this ribosomal RNA (435 nucleotides) under uncultured bacterium. RNAcentral describes it as "partial 16S ribosomal RNA". It matches the Rfam family "Bacterial small subunit ribosomal RNA", at positions 29 to 507 of the family's 1533-position model. The record is from RNAcentral.